RNAcentral lists this ribosomal RNA (460 nucleotides) under uncultured bacterium. RNAcentral describes it as "partial 16S ribosomal RNA". It matches the Rfam family "Bacterial small subunit ribosomal RNA", at positions 338 to 795 of the family's 1533-position model. The record is from RNAcentral.
CCUACGGGUGGCAGCAGUGAGGAAUAUUGGUCAAUGGGCGCAAGCCUGAACCAGUCAAGUAGCGUGAAGGAUGACUGCCCUACGGGUUGUAAACUUCUUUUAUAAAGGAAUAAAGUGAGGCACGUGUGCCUUUUUGUAUGUACUUUAUGCAUAAGGAUCGGCUAACUCCGUGCCAGCAGCCCCGGUAAUACGGAGGAUACGGGCGUGAUCCGGAUUUAUUGGGUUUAAAGGGAGCGUAGAUGGGUUGUUAAGUCCGUUGUGAAAGUUUGCGGCUCAACCGUAAAAUUGAAAUUGAAACUGGAAGGCUUGAGUACAGUUGAGGUAGGCGGAAUUCGUGGUGUAGCGGUGAAAUGCUUAGAUAUCACGAAGAACUCCGAUUGCGAAGGCAGCUUACUAAACUGCCACUGACAUUGAGGCUCGAAAGUGUGGGUAUCAAACAGGAUUAGAUACCCUUGUAGUC